Molecule: ribosomal RNA, 301 nt
Filed under: uncultured bacterium
Lineage: Bacteria
Description: partial 16S ribosomal RNA
Rfam family: Bacterial small subunit ribosomal RNA
Source: RNAcentral
CAGCCGCCGCGGGAAUACGUAGGUGGCAAGCGUUGUCCGGAAUUAUUGGGCGUAAAGGGCUCGCAGGCGGUUUCUUAAGCCUGAUGUGAAAGCCCCCGGCUCAACCGGGGAGGGUCAUUGGAAACUGGGAAACUUGAGUGCAGAAGAGGAGAGUGGAAUUCCACGUGUAGCGGUGAAAUGCGUAGAGAUGUGGAGGAACACCAGUGGCGAAGGCGACUCUCUGGUCUGUAACUGACGCUGAGGAGCGAAAGCGUGGGGAGCGAACAGGAUUAGAUACCCCGGUAGUCCCUGUCUCUUAUAU